UGCGGAAGGAUCAUUACCGAGUGUAGGGUUCCUAGCGAGCCCAACCUCCCACCCGUGUUUACUGUACCUUAGUUGCUUCGGCGGGCCCGCCAUUCAUGGCCGCCGGGGGCUCUCAGCCCCGGGCCCGCGCCCGCCGGAGACACCACGAACUCUGUCUGAUCUAGUGAAGUCUGAGUUGAUUGUAUCGCAAUCAGUUAAAACUUUCAACAAUGGAUCUCUUGGUUCCGGCAUCGAUGAAGAACGCAGCGAAAUGCGAUAACUAGUGUGAAUUGCAGAAUUCCGUGAAUCAUCGAGUCUUUGAACGCACAUUGCGCCCCCUGGUAUUCCGGGGGGCAUGCCUGUCCGAGCGUCAUUGCUGCCCAUCAAGCACGGCUUGUGUGUUGGGUCGUCGUCCCCUCUCCGGGGGGGACGGGCCCCAAAGGCAGCGGCGGCACCGCGUCCGAUCCUCGAGCGUAUGGGGCUUUGUCACCCGCUCUGUAGGCCCGGCCGGCGCUUGCCGAACGCAAAUCAAUCUUUUCCAGGUUGACCUCGGAUCAGGUAGGGAUACCCGCUGAACUUAAGCAUAUCAAUAAGCGGAGGAAAAGAAACCAACCGGG
Molecule: ribosomal RNA, 596 nt
Filed under: Aspergillus sp. BAB-3840
Lineage: Eukaryota; Fungi; Ascomycota; Eurotiomycetes; Eurotiales; Aspergillaceae
Description: eukaryotic LSU rRNA
Rfam family: 5.8S ribosomal RNA (bases 199-352)
Source: RNAcentral